RNAcentral lists this ribosomal RNA (253 nucleotides) under uncultured bacterium. RNAcentral describes it as "partial 16S ribosomal RNA". It matches the Rfam family "Bacterial small subunit ribosomal RNA", at positions 524 to 776 of the family's 1533-position model. The record is from RNAcentral.
UACAGAGGGUGCAAGCGUUGUUCGGAAUUAUUGGGCGUAAAGCGCACGUAGGCGGCUUGGCAAGUCGGAUGUGAAAUCCCUCGGCUCAACCAAGGAAGUGCAUCCGAAACUGCUGAGCUUGAGUACUUAAGGGGAUCGCGGAAUUCCCGGUGUAGAGGUGAAAUUCGUAGAUAUCGGGAGGAACACCAGUGGCGAAGGCGGCGAUCUGGGAAGAUACUGACGCUGAGGUGCGAAAGCGUGGGGAGCAAACAGG